UACGGGGGGGGCAAGCGUUGUUCGGAAUUACUGGGCGUAAAGGGCUCGUAGGUGGCCAACUAAGUCGGACGUGAAAUCCCUCAGCUUAACUGGGGAACUGCGUCCGAUACUGGAUGGCUUGAGUUCGGGAGAGGAGAGUGGAAUUCCCAGUGUAGAGGUGAAAUUCGUAGAUAUUGGGAAGAACACCGGUGGCGAAGGCGGCUCUCUGGACCGAGACUGACGCUGAGGCGCGAAAGCGUGGGGAGCAAACAGG
RNAcentral lists this ribosomal RNA (253 nucleotides) under uncultured bacterium. RNAcentral describes it as "partial 16S ribosomal RNA". It matches the Rfam family "Bacterial small subunit ribosomal RNA", at positions 524 to 776 of the family's 1533-position model. The record is from RNAcentral.